RNAcentral lists this ribosomal RNA (2119 nucleotides) under Salmonella enterica subsp. enterica serovar Stockholm. RNAcentral describes it as "partial 23S ribosomal RNA". It matches the Rfam family "Bacterial large subunit ribosomal RNA", at positions 786 to 2802 of the family's 2925-position model. Lineage: Bacteria; Pseudomonadati; Pseudomonadota; Gammaproteobacteria; Enterobacterales; Enterobacteriaceae. The record is from RNAcentral.
AUGUUGAAAAAUUAGCGGAUGACCUGUGGCUGGGGGUGAAAGGCCAAUCAAACCGGGAGAUAGCUGGUUCUCCCCGAAAGCUAUUUAGGUAGCGCCUCGUGAACUCAUCUCCGGGGGUAGAGCACUGUUUCGGCUAGGGGGCCAUCCCGGCUUACCAACCCGAUGCAAACUGCGAAUACCGGAGAAUGUUAUCACGGGAGACACACGGCGGGUGCUAACGUCCGUCGUGAAGAGGGAAACAACCCAGACCGCCAGCUAAGGUCCCAAAGUCAUGGUUAAGUGGGAAACGAUGUGGGAAGGCCCAGACAGCCAGGAUGUUGGCUUAGAAGCAGCCAUCAUUUAAAGAAAGCGUAAUAGCUCACUGGUCGAGUCGGCCUGCGCGGAAGAUGUAACGGGGCUAAACCAUGCACCGAAGCUGCGGCAGCGAACGUAUCACCCAAGACAACUUUACGGAGUUGACGAUUGACGGAGCGAAGCGACGUCAAAGCGUAUACAAAGUCGAGUUGGCUUAGGGAUACGUUCGUUGGGUAGGGGAGCGUUCUGUAAGCCUGUGAAGGUGGCCUGUGAGGGUUGCUGGAGGUAUCAGAAGUGCGAAUGCUGACAUAAGUAACGAUAAAGCGGGUGAAAAGCCCGCUCGCCGGAAGACCAAGGGUUCCUGUCCAACGUUAAUCGGGGCAGGGUGAGUCGACCCCUAAGGCGAGGCCGAAAGGCGUAGUCGAUGGGAAACGGGUUAAUAUUCCCGUACUUGGUGUUACUGCGAAGGGGGGACGGAGAAGGCUAUGUUGGCCGGGCGACGGUUGUCCCGGUUUAAGCGUGUAGGUGUGUGUUCCAGGUAAAUCCGGUUCACUUUAACACUGAGGCGUGACGACGAGGCACUACGGUGCUGAAGCAACAAAUGCCCUGCUUCCAGGAAAAGCCUCUAAGCAUCAGGUAACAUCAAAUCGUACCCCAAACCGACACAGGUGGUCAGGUAGAGAAUACCAAGGCGCUUGAGAGAACUCGGGUGAAGGAACUAGGCAAAAUGGUGCCGUAACUUCGGGAGAAGGCACGCUGACAUGUAGGUGAAGUGAUUUACUCACGGAGCUGAAGUCAGUCGAAGAUACCAGCUGGCUGCAACUGUUUAUUAAAAACACAGCACUGUGCAAACACGAAAGUGGACGUAUACGGUGUGACGCCUGCCCGGUGCCGGAAGGUUAAUUGAUGGGGUCAGCGCAAGCGAAGCUCCUGAUCGAAGCCCCGGUAAACGGCGGCCGUAACUAUAACGGUCCUAAGGUAGCGAAAUUCCUUGUCGGGUAAGUUCCGACCUGCACGAAUGGCGUAAUGAUGGCCAGGCUGUCUCCACCCGAGACUCAGUGAAAUUGAACUCGCUGUGAAGAUGCAGUGUACCCGCGGCAAGACGGAAAGACCCCGUGAACCUUUACUAUAGCUUGACACUGAACAUUGAGCCUUGAUGUGUAGGAUAGGUGGGAGGCUUUGAAGUGUGGACGCCAGUCUGCAUGGAGCCGACCUUGAAAUACCACCCUUUAAUGUUUGAUGUUCUAACGUGGACCCGUGAUCCGGGUUGCGGACAGUGUCUGGUGGGUAGUUUGACUGGGGCGGUCUCCUCCUAAAGAGUAACGGAGGAGCACGAAGGUUGGCUAAUCCUGGUCGGACAUCAGGAGGUUAGUGCAAUGGCAUAAGCCAGCUUGACUGCGAGCGUGACGGCGCGAGCAGGUGCGAAAGCAGGUCAUAGUGAUCCGGUGGUUCUGAAUGGAAGGGCCAUCGCUCAACGGAUAAAAGGUACUCCGGGGAUAACAGGCUGAUACCGCCCAAGAGUUCAUAUCGACGGCGGUGUUUGGCACCUCGAUGUCGGCUCAUCACAUCCUGGGGCUGAAGUAGGUCCCAAGGGUAUGGCUGUUCGCCAUUUAAAGUGGUACGCGAGCUGGGUUUAGAACGUCGUGAGACAGUUCGGUCCCUAUCUGCCGUGGGCGCUGGAGAACUGAGGGGGGCUGCUCCUAGUACGAGAGGACCGGAGUGGACGCAUCACUGGUGUUCGGGUUGUCAUGCCAAUGGCACUGCCCGGUAGCUAAAUGCGGAAGAGAUAAGUGCUGAAAGCAUCUAAGCACGAAACUUGCCCCGA